CCGGGCUCUUUAAGCAGGAACGUGGAUGGCCUCAAGAUGUCUCACAUGGUCCCACUCGCCCUCCUCCUCCCUUUGUUCCCUACCUCCAGGAGGGCUGCUCUGCCCUUCCUUCCUCUGUUCUUUGGCCUUAUGUUCCCCGCCACCACAGACCUUCCCCCGCCCCACCCCGGAGGAUUAAUCAGUGACAGGAAGCUGCCUCUCUCAGAGCCGUGACCGGCUGUGGUCAGGAGAGCUUCAACAGGGCCAGCCCCAGGAGUCUUUCCCGAUUCUUGCUCACUGCUCACCCACCUGCUGCUGCCAUGAGGCACCUUGGGGCCUUGCUCUUCCUUCUGGGGGUCUUGGGGGCCCUCGCUGAGAUCUGUGAAAUACCAGAGGUGGACAGCCAUCUGGUAGAGAAGUUGGGCCAGCACCUCUUACCUUGGAUGGACCGGCUUUCCCUGGAGCACCUGAACCCCAGCAUCUAUGUGGGCCUGCGCCUCUCCAGCCUGCAGGCUGGGACCAAGGAAGAACUCUACCUGCACAGCCUCAAGCUUGGUUACCAGCAGUGCCUCCUAGGGUAUUGCCACACUCUUCUUUUUCCAUGUUUUGCUCCACAUACUAAGAGACAG
Molecule: small RNA, 608 nt
Filed under: Pongo abelii (Sumatran orangutan)
Lineage: Eukaryota; Metazoa; Chordata; Mammalia; Primates; Hominidae
Description: retained intron
Source: RNAcentral